Molecule: long non-coding RNA, 866 nt
Organism: Mauremys reevesii (Reeves's turtle)
Lineage: Eukaryota; Metazoa; Chordata; Testudines; Geoemydidae
Exons: 3
Source: RefSeq, a predicted model, not a curated record
GAUAAUUUGCCUUAGUGCUCCUGAAUGUACACACUUUGGUCCUGCAGUCCUAAAUCAGCAUCAACUUCAAUAGAGGGACUUAUUAAACCUGGUGAUAAACGAGCACCACAGAUACCUUUUUGUCUAUUGUGACAAAAUCAGACCUGCCAGUUCUGGAAGUGUGAUUGAAGGCAGGUGUAUCAGACUUAGGAAACAGUGCUUUGACCAUCCCAAGAACUGAAAGAGAGAAGGGGGCCUGGAUUCCCACCGAAGCUGGACCCAGCAUGGAUUAGAGAGGAUGGCUGGUGACCAGUAGCCUGCAUAAGAAGAGGCAGUACCCCAGUGGGCAUUAGAAAAGGCAUUCUGUUUAAAGAAACCUCUUGGGCCAACCCUAUAAUUAGCUUAAAUAAACCAGCAUUCAGAAUUAAACUGCUGGAGUAGGACUGAUUCACUCCAGGCCCCCACCACCACCCUCGCCCCCACGCCAAAGGGAGAAAAGCUGAGUAUUGCUGUGACAAAAAGAGCUAUAGCGUGGGAUCAUUCCCCCUACUCAUGCAGAAGGGCUAUCAAAAAAAAAAUAAUCAGAUGGACCUCCAAGGAACAUCACAAUACAAAGGAUUGGUUAAUGGCCCUAUCGCACCUUGGAAAUGCUACAUGCAAGGAAGCUCGUCCUGUGGACGUGGAAGCUGAAUAAAGGAAAUAAAAAAGUCACAGGAAGACUUUGCAUCUCUUCACUGUUUGAACUCACAGAGCCAGAGCCACCAAACUGAAGCCAGAGAUCCACAGGGGCUACCUUUUGGGUCCAACCUGAAAGACACUUUGAAUUGACAGAUCACCUACAAUGCAGUCACUUAGGAUUUAGAUGGUAACUCAUUUGUGUGUGUAUA